Molecule: ribosomal RNA, 164 nt
Filed under: uncultured bacterium
Lineage: Bacteria
Description: partial 16S ribosomal RNA
Rfam family: Bacterial small subunit ribosomal RNA
Source: RNAcentral
UGGGGAAUAUUGGUACCUCUGGGGGCAACCCUGAAUCCAGCAACGCUGCGUGGGGGAUGAAGGUCUUCGGAUUGUAAACCCCUGUUGGGAGGGACGAAGGCUCGAGGAUUAAUCACUCACGCGCUUGACGGUACCUCAAGAGAAAGCACCGGCUAACUACGUGC